Molecule: ribosomal RNA, 505 nt
Filed under: uncultured bacterium
Lineage: Bacteria
Description: bacterial SSU rRNA
Rfam family: Bacterial small subunit ribosomal RNA
Source: RNAcentral
GACGAACGCUGGCGGCGUGCCUAACACAUGCAAGUCGAGCGAAGUAUAUCUGAGGGAAAUUUUCGGAUGGAACUUAGAUAUAUCUUAGCGGCGGACGGGUGAGUAACGCGUGAGCAACCUGCCUUUCACAAAGGGAUAGCCUCGGGAAACUGGGAUUAAUACCAUAUAAAACUUGUCUUUCGCAUGAAAGAAAAGUCAAAGCGAAUAAGCGGUGAAAGAUGGGCUCGCGUCCUAUUAGCUAGUUGGUGAGGUAACGGCUCACCAAGGCGACGAUAGGUAGCCGGCCUGAGAGGGUGAACGGCCACACUGGAACUGAGACACGGCCCAGACUCCUACGGGAGGGCAGCAGUAAGGGAAUAUUGGUCAAUGCCCGGAAGGGUGAACCAGCCAUCCCGCGUGAAGGAUGAAGGGGCUCUGCCUUGUAAACUUCUUUUGUAUGGGGCGAAAAAAGGGGAUUUAUCCUCGACUGACGGUACCAUAAGAAUAAGCACCGGCUAACUCCGUG